This 253-nucleotide ribosomal RNA is filed under the name uncultured bacterium. RNAcentral's name for it is "partial 16S ribosomal RNA". It matches the Rfam family "Bacterial small subunit ribosomal RNA", at positions 524 to 776 of the family's 1533-position model. The record is from RNAcentral.
UACGUAGGGGGCAAGCGUUGUCCGGAUUUAUUGGGCGUAAAGAGCGUGUAGGCGGCUUUGCAAGUCCGUUGUGAAAACUCGAGGCUCAACCUCGAGACGCCGGUGGAAACUGCAAAGCUAGAGUCCGGAAGAGGAGAGUGGAAUUCCUGGUGUAGCGGUGAAAUGCGCAGAUAUCGAGAGGAACACCUGCGGCGAAGGCGGGUUGCUGGGCUGACACUGACGCUGAGGCGCGAAAGCGUGGGGAGCAAACAGG